This is a long non-coding RNA of Anas platyrhynchos (mallard), 3002 nucleotides long. RefSeq lists it as uncharacterized. Lineage: Eukaryota; Metazoa; Chordata; Aves; Anseriformes; Anatidae. The record is from RefSeq and is a predicted model, not a curated record.
UUUCUCAGGCUGUCUUCACAGAAGAGGUGCCCCAGCUCUCUGAUCAACUUCAUGGCCUUCCUGCUCUGCUAGAGCAGGUCCACAUCCUUGUGCUGGGGGCCCCAGAUCUGUAUGUAGUACUCCAAGUGAGGCCUCACAAGAUGCAGAGCAGAGGGGGACAAUCCCCUUCUUCAACCUGCUGGCCUCUCUGUUGAUGCAGUGACAUGAGAUGCCUGACUGCCAUUGAAGAAUGGCAAGACACAAAGUAUUUGUUGAGCACCUCAGCCUCCUCCACAUCUAUUGUUACCAUUACUCCUUUCUAAUUUAUCUGAAGGGGUACAGUCUCCUUGGCCUUUCUUUUUUGACCCAUGUAACUACAGAAUUCUUUCCUGUUAUUCUUUGAAUCCAUCAUCAAUUUCUCAUUCACUAUUCCUAAAGCAUGUGGUAGUUCUCUCUUUAGAAGUUGAGAGCACUGACUUUGCUCUUUGCCAGGUAUAUAUUCCUUGAGAUCAAAUAUUCAACCAGGGGGUAGGUGCUGCAGCCCAGACAGCCACCAGUCUUAAACUCUUUCAUGACUUUAUUUGCACUGGUGAGCACUGCGUCCAGUAACACUUCUCCUCUGAUCGGUUUGUGAAUUUCUGGCCCAGUAAGCUAUCCUCAACACACUCCAGGAGUUUUCUGGAUUGCUUGCAGCCUGCUACGCUGCUUUCCCAGCAGACAUCCAGGUGUCUGAAAUCCCCCAUCAGGAUGAGAGUGUGUGAGCAUCGUGCUUCUUGUAGCUGAAGCAGGAAGGCCUCAGCAACAGGGUUCCCUUGAUCAGGCAGCCUGUAAUAUACCCCAACCAUACAGAGUCCUUUUUGGUCCAGUCCUUAACUUUUACUCCGAGGCUGUCAACCUGUUUGUGGUUGUUUCUGAGGUAGCUCUUUGCAAUGUAUCCACUCCUUAACAUAGGGGGAAACAUCCUUAUCUCUCCUUUCCUCUCUGUUAUGAAAAGCUUGUAGCCCUCAAUUACAGUGCUGCAGUUGUGUGAUUUGUCCCACCACACUUCUGUGAUACCAAUUAGGUCAUGGUUUUGUGAGCAUGCUGUGGUUUCCAACUCCUGCUCAUUUUCCAUUAUACGUGCAUUGGUAUAGAGACACUUCAGCUGAGUUAAUGGCUGCAUCACCUUUUUAGAGGAGCCCUCCCUAAUUUCUCUGAGACAAUUCACAGGUAUUUUCUUGUUGCUUAGUAAAGUGUCAAUGUUUCUUGGUUCUUCUCUGUCCCUCAGAAGUGACAGAGAAGUGACAAACAUGAAAAGUAUCAGAACAUACUACCAUGUUGUAUGGUGGUAAUGAGAUAUUUUUAUAUUUUCCAUCUAAACAGGAGAAUUCUAAAUUUUGUUCCAUUUAAAUUCUUUCCAUCUCACAUUUUUAUGAACUCUUUCCUUUAUGCCAUGCCACAUGCCAGUGACUCAAAACUUGUCCAAAUAAGUAAGCAGUUCCCCUACAUGCACACAUGCUUAUACAAACACGCACUGCUUUGCCCCUUGAGGUGAAAGACCUUGACAACUGGCAGAGACAAAAAACAGUGUAAAGAUUUACAAAUCAGAAUGGGAAUACAUUCCUGGCUAUUGCACAGCUUAGCGUUGAGCACCAGCUAGUGUAUUUAGGUAUGAAUUGCACUUACUUAUGAAUGACAAAUCUAGUAACCUGACUAGUAAGAAUGGUUGAGAUACUGUUUUACUGGAGUCUUGGUGAAUUUUGAAGUGAGAUUCAUCACAAUCAACGGUGCAUGUUUGUAACUUAGUCCAAUUUGUGCAAAACCAAACAGCAGUAGCCAAGAUCUGUCAAAAUUUUAACAAAUUCAUAGAAUCUUCCUGCAGCUAUAGUAAAUCACAGAAUAGUAGCAUGACUUGGGUUGGAAGGGACCUUAAAGAUGAUCUAGUUCCAGCCUCCCUGCCACAGGUUGACACCUCCUACUAGACCAGGUUGCUCAAAGCCUCAUCCAACCUGAUCCUGAACACCUUUUGGGAUGGGGCAUCUACAGCUUCUCUGGGCAACCUGUCUCAACAACUUCUGAGUAAAGAACUUCCCCCUAAAAUAAAAUCUAAACCACAUCUCCCUUAGAUUAAAACCAUUCCCUUUUGUCUUAUCACUAGCUGCCUAUGAAAAAAGUCACUCUCCAUCUUUUUUGUAAGCCCCCUUUAAAUGUACAGAUGUAAGCUGGAGAGGCUGCAGCUAUUCUUCCUCGUGCAUCCCAAGCAGUGUGUAGAAAGGGAAAAUACCCUACACCCAAACAGCCACCACUUUUUCCCAGCACAGAAGGUCUCAACUGACUUGAAGUACCGAAGAUUUUAUACUGGCUCUAGGAACUCUAAGACUUAACUUGAGGCUGAGGCUGACAGUAGAAGCCAACUCCUGUGCUGCUGUUGUCAUGCUGAGUUCAGAAAAAAACAAUUUCCCUGUAACUGACAAGUGUUGACAUUACUAUCUUCCUUAUCGUUGUCACUAAUUGUAUUAGCAAACCAGCCGCUCAUUAAUCAUUUGUAGGCAGCCCAUGAUUCAGCUGGGUGGGCGAAUCACUUGCUUUGUGAAAGCAGCCAGCUGUGAUCUUAGUCAUGGCAAACGCUAAGAAAGGUCACACAGCACUUGUGAUAAGACGGAGAGAAUAAUUGUCUACAGUACAAGGUGAUUCAGCCAUGUCCAGAAUGAACUCCCUGCAUUAGAGGACAUCUUCUUUGUUUACUAAUACCAUCAUUCAUCAUGAUAAAAAUCCAGAACAGUGGGAUAUGCUAUCUCAAAAUCCUAUAAACCAACUCAGAGGUGAAAAUGAAGAAAGUUGUACAAAGUUGAAGAAUGGAAGGAAGAGGAGCUGUUUGUGAACUUCAAUGAAUAAUAAUCUAAAGUAUUCAAUAAACACAUGUUCUAGUAGCAGGAAGAGGGAUCUCUAUUUAAAUAAUAUUUUCCUACAUUUUUCAUUACAGAAAUACCUGAUAUGUAUCCAGUAAUGCAAAAUAAAUAAAUAAAUAAACAAACAAAUAAAUA